GACGAACGCUGGCGGCGUGCUUAACACAUGCAAGUCGAACGGAAAGGCCCUGCUUUUGUGGGGUGCUCGAGUGGCGAACGGGGGAGUAACACGUGAGUAACCUGCCCUUGACUUUGGGAUAACUUCAGGAAACUGGGGCUAAUACCGGAUAGGAGCUCCUGCUGCAUGGUGGGGGUUGGAAAGAUUCGGCGGUUGGGGAUGGACUAGCGGCUUAUCAGCUUGUUGGGGGGGUAGUGGCUUACCAAGGCUUUGACGGGUAGCCGGCCUGAGAGGGUGACCGGCCACAUUGGGACUGAGAUACGGCCCAGACUCCUACGGGAGGCAGCAGUGGGGAAUAUUGCACAAUGGGCGGAAGCCUGAUGCAGCAACGCCGCGUGCGGGAUGACGGCCUUCGGGUUGUAAACCGCUUUCGCCUGUGACGAAGCGUGAGUGACGGUAAUGGGUAAAGAAGCACCGGCUAACUACGUG
This 468-nucleotide ribosomal RNA is filed under the name uncultured bacterium. Its description in RNAcentral is "partial 16S ribosomal RNA". It matches the Rfam family "Bacterial small subunit ribosomal RNA", at positions 28 to 507 of the family's 1533-position model. The record is from RNAcentral.